This 492-nucleotide ribosomal RNA is filed under the name uncultured bacterium. Its description in RNAcentral is "partial 16S ribosomal RNA". It matches the Rfam family "Bacterial small subunit ribosomal RNA", at positions 29 to 507 of the family's 1533-position model. The record is from RNAcentral.
AGUGAACGCUGGCGAUAGGCCUAACACAUGCAAGUCGAACGGCAGCACAGUAAGAGCUUGCUCUUACGGGUGGCGAGUGGCGGGCGGGUGAGGAAUACAUCGGAAUCUACUUUUUCGUGGGGGAUAACGUAGGGAAACUUACGCUAAUACCGCAUACGACCUACGGGUGAAAGCAGGGGAUCUUCGGACCUUGCGCGAUUGAAUGAGCCGAUGUCGGAUUAGCUAGUUGGCGGGGUAAAGGCCCACCAAGGCGACGAUCCGUAGCUGGUCUGAGAGGAUGAUCAGCCACACUGGGACUGAGACACGGUCCAGACUCCUACGGGAGGCAGCAGUGGGGAAUAUUGGACAAUGGGCGCAAGCCUGAUCCAGCCAUACCGCGUGGGUGAAGAAGGCCUUCGGGUUGUAAAGCCCUUUUGUUGGGAAAGAAAAGCAGCAGGUUAAUACCCCGCUGUUCUGACGGUACCCAAAGAAUAAGCACCGGCUAACUUCGUG